ACACCCUUAGACAUUCCUUGUAGAUGUCUUAUAUAAGUCCAAUGCUUACUACUACUUGUUCUCUUCUUCAAUGUUAAGAUUCAUAAAACCAAAGUGCUACGUCUCCUUGCCUCAACACCAAAACUCUUUACUUCACUUCUCGUCACAAUCACGAAAGUCCAAUGCUUAGUUACUAGUCUUCUUCAGUGUUAAGAUUCAUAAAACCAAGUGCAAGUUCACUUCUUUCCUCCACUUCUUGUCAAUUCUCUGGUUAAUAUUACAGCACUUUACACAGCAUACUUCAAGGAUUAGACACUCAAAAAUUUCCGAAAAUCAGAACAGAUAUUUUCAAUUUUGAAGAGUCAGCAUCCAGCAAAAUCACAACUUUUACAAAUGUUACGAAGCUAAAGAGAUUUGUUUGACCAAAUUUGGAAAAAUUUGAUAGUAAUCCUCAAACUCGGAAUCAUAGAAUAGAAUCGAAAACAAGAAUAAAUAAUCUAGAAAAUUCCCAAUUCGAGCUCGAGAAAACACAGACACAUCGUUCCGAGAGAAAUUACCGGAGAUGAAUUCGUAAAAAAACGGCGACGGCGGCGGAAGCGGAAGGUCUCUUCGACGGCGGAGCAAGC
This 605-nucleotide long non-coding RNA is filed under the name Eutrema salsugineum. RNAcentral describes it as "long non-coding RNA (ESAL_LNC001452)". The record is from RNAcentral. Lineage: Eukaryota; Viridiplantae; Streptophyta; Magnoliopsida; Brassicales; Brassicaceae.